UUCGGUUGGCCAGGUUGUUGAAGCUACUGGCGGUAAGGUCACCGGCUUCAAGCGCGUUCGCGUUGGUGAAGCAGCUGCUGCUGCUGCAGCCGAAGC
Molecule: transfer RNA, 96 nt
Filed under: Arcanobacterium haemolyticum
Lineage: Bacteria; Bacillati; Actinomycetota; Actinomycetes; Actinomycetales; Actinomycetaceae
Description: tRNA-Leu(aag)
Source: RNAcentral